AGAGUUUGAUCCUGGCUCAGAUUGAACGCCGGCGGUAUGCUUAACACAUGCAAGUCGAACGGAAACGAUGGUAGCUUGCUACCAGGCGUCGAGUGGCGGACGGGUGAGUAACGCGUAGGAAUCUGCCUGAUAGUGGGGGAUAGCCCAGAGAAAUCUGGAUUAAUACCGCAUAAUCUCUAUGGAGUAAAGGAGCCCUCUUCUUGAAAGGUUUCGCUAUCAGAUGAGCUUGCGUAAGAUUAGCUUGUUGGUGAGGUAAAAGCUCACCAAGGCGACGAUCUUUAGCUGGUCUGAGAGGAUGAUCAGCCACACUGGAACUGAGACACGGUCCAGACUCCUACGGGAGGCAGCAGUGGGGAAUAUUGGACAAUGGGCGCAAGCCUGAUCCAGCAAUACCGCGUGUGUGAAGAAGGCCUGAGGGUUGUAAAGCACUUUCAAUUGUGAAGAAAAGCUAAUGGCUAAUACCCAUUAGCCUUGACGUUAACUUUAGAAGAAGCACCGGCUA
RNAcentral lists this ribosomal RNA (502 nucleotides) under uncultured Gammaproteobacteria bacterium. RNAcentral describes it as "bacterial SSU rRNA". It matches the Rfam family "Bacterial small subunit ribosomal RNA", at positions 8 to 499 of the family's 1533-position model. Lineage: Bacteria; Pseudomonadati; Pseudomonadota; Gammaproteobacteria. The record is from RNAcentral.